RNAcentral lists this ribosomal RNA (440 nucleotides) under uncultured bacterium. Its description in RNAcentral is "partial 16S ribosomal RNA". It matches the Rfam family "Bacterial small subunit ribosomal RNA", at positions 338 to 795 of the family's 1533-position model. The record is from RNAcentral.
CCUACGGGCGGCAGCAGUAGGGAAUAUUGCUCAAUGGGGGAAACCCUGAAGCAGCAACGCCGCGUGGAGGAUGAAGGUUUUAGGAUUGUAAACCCCUUUUGUUAGAGAAGAUUAUGACGGUAUCUAACGAAUAAGCACCGGCUAACUCCGUGCCAGCAGCCGCGGUAAUACGGAGGGUGCAAGCGUUACUCGGAAUCACUGGGCGUAAAGAGUGCGUAGGCGGGGUAAUAAGUCAGAUGUGAAAUCCUGUGGCUUAACUACAGAACUGCAUUUGAAACUGGUAUUCUGGAGUAUGGGAGAGGUAGGUGGAAUGCUUGGUGUAGGGGUAAAAUGCGUAGAUAUCAAGAGGAAUACUGAUUGCGAAGGCGACCUGCUAGAACAUAACUGACGCUGAUGCGCGAAAGCGUGGGGAGCAAACAGGAUUAGAUACCCCUGUAGUC